RNAcentral lists this long non-coding RNA (544 nucleotides) under Equus caballus (horse). RNAcentral's name for it is "lncRNA (ENSECAG00000058912.1)". Lineage: Eukaryota; Metazoa; Chordata; Mammalia; Perissodactyla; Equidae. The record is from RNAcentral.
ACUGGUAUUUAAUGCUGAUUAAACCUUGGAAUCACCUGGAGAGCUUGGCCUCUAAUGUUGCCUGGGCUCCACCCUUGGAGAUCCUGAUUUAAUUGGUCUGGGGUGGGGUGCAGGAGUCAGCAUUUUUUUAACAGCUUUCCAGAUGAUUCUUUUCUGUAGCUAGGUUGAGAAGUGCAGGAAUCAAAAACAGUAGAGAUUUCAGGAUAGAAAGAACAGCACAAGGAUUCAUCACUAUUCAAGACCUUACCUUGCUACACAAAACAUCAACAUCUCUGUCCUAUCUGCGUGCUUAGUUCAAUUAGUUUCCUGUGUGACUACGUCUGCUACGGAAAGAAGAUGGAGGUUUCAUCUUGACUCUGGAAGAUUAGACCUGAGCUAACAUCCAUGCCUGUCUUCCUCUUCUUUAUAUGUAGCAGUCUGCCACAGCAUGGCUUGAUGAGCAGUGUGUAGGUCCAUGCCUGGGAUCCAAACCAGCAAACCCUGGGCCGCCAAAGCAGAGAGCACAAACGUAACUGCUACCCACCAGGCCAGCCCCUAUAACAGU